UAACGCGAAGAACCUUACCAAGGCUUGACAUACACGAGAACGGGCCAGAAAUGGUCAACUCUUUGGACACUCGUGAACAGGUGGUGCAUGGUUGUCGUCAGCUCGUGUCGUGAGAUGUUGGGUUAAGUCCCGCAACGAGCGCAACCCUCGUUUUAUGUUGCCAGCGCGUAAUGGCGGGAACUCAUAGGAGACUGCCGGGGUCAACUCGGAGGAAGGUGGGAAUGACGUCAAAUCAUCAUGCCCCUUAUGUCUUGGGCUUCACGCAUGCUACAAUGGCCGGUACAAAGGGCUGCAAUACCGUAAGGUGGAGCGAAUCCCAAAAAGCCGGUCUCAGUUCGGAUUGAGGUCUGCAACUCGACCUCAUGAAGUCGGAGUCGCUAGUAAUCGCAGAUCAGCA
This 397-nucleotide ribosomal RNA is filed under the name uncultured bacterium. Its description in RNAcentral is "bacterial SSU rRNA". It matches the Rfam family "Bacterial small subunit ribosomal RNA", at positions 957 to 1354 of the family's 1533-position model. The record is from RNAcentral.